GUUACGGCCUCCAUUUAAAGGAACAAACCAAGGCUCAAAAGGGAUUGGAGGAUGCAACAUAUAAAAAGGAUGCCAGACACAAGGUUAACAAUUAACCAACAAGCUUUAUAUGCAAAAAUAUUCCCAAAAGUAGCAAACUAAGAGAAACAAAAGGGACUGGAGACCCCGGCCAAAAAGAACAAAAGAUGGGAAGACGCUGGACCAACCUCGCAGUGAGCCGUCACUCCCCGUGUCUCCCCUAAACUAAUCCUAGAACAAACAAAAGAGACAAAUAACAGAACUACCGGUAAUCUCCAGCCCAAACUAACACAAUAAACUAAAAUAACAAAACUCCAACACCUAAAUGUGCAUGGAGUUUGGGAAAACAAACCUGCUUGUGGAGAAAAAAGAAAAUGAGGACACAACUCCA
Sander lucioperca (pikeperch) is the source of this 409-nucleotide long non-coding RNA. RefSeq lists it as uncharacterized. The record is from RefSeq and is a predicted model, not a curated record. The transcript has 4 exons. NCBI's taxonomy places the organism in Eukaryota, Metazoa, Chordata, Actinopteri, Perciformes, Percidae.